UGCUUGUUACUAUUUUUACUUUUUUUUCUAAUAAUUUAAAUAUAAUUUGUUUGUAAUUAAUUUAACAAGAUAACAAGCAAAAAUUAAAGAAAUAUAUGUUCAACUUUAGAAGAAAAAGCAACUAUAUAUUUUUGAAGGAUGACUUCGACUGAAUAAGUCGAGCUGGGUCUACCACAUUUUACUUUACCAUCACAUGAAAUCCGCGAGAAAUGCUACUUUCAAAUGAAAUUAAAUCCAAAAUUCAAAUGAUCGGUGGAGCGGUCGGUCAUCCAAGAAUGGAAGUCAUCCAAGAAUGGAAGUAACCGUUUCUUGAUUGAUUUCUUUUAGUUGCUGUUGAUCGUGGUAAGCUUCUGUUCCGUCUCUUGCCUCUCCCGCGCUUCCAGCCCUCCACCACCACAACCGCUCGCUCUCCCGCCGGCGCUCUCCACCACCACAGCUGCUCGCUCUCCCGCCGGCGCUCUCCACCACCACCGCUGCUCGCUCUCCAGCCAUCGACCUCCACCACCACCGUCGUGCCCCGAAGUGAAUGGCAAUUUGCAAACGAGGGUUUUAAUCGAGGAGUCUCGAUUCAUCUCAAGCUGCAUUAUCUACGACUCUAAAUAUUGUAAGCUACCUUGAGGGUUUUCUCCCCAAAACUUCAAGAUCGGUGGUUUCAUGGAGUUGAAGUUUUAAUUGGUUGCUAAAGGUGGAUG
This is a long non-coding RNA of Nymphaea colorata (pocket water lily), 692 nucleotides long. RefSeq lists it as uncharacterized. The record is from RefSeq and is a predicted model, not a curated record. Lineage: Eukaryota; Viridiplantae; Streptophyta; Magnoliopsida; Nymphaeales; Nymphaeaceae. The transcript has 3 exons.